ACGAGGUGGUGCAUGGUUGUCGUCAGCUCGUGUCGUGAGAUGUUGGGUUAAGUCCCGCAACGAGCGCAACCCUCGCCUCUAGUUGCCAGCAUUCGGUUGGGCACUCUAGAGGGACUGCCGGCGACAAGUCGGAGGAAGGUGGGAUGACGUCAAAUCAUCAUGCCCCUUAUGACCUGGGCUACACACGUGCUACAAUGGGCGGUACAAAGGGCUGCGAACCCGCGAGGGGGAGCGAAUCCCAAAAAGCCGCUCUCAGUUCGGAUUGCAGGCUGCAACUCGCCUGCAUGAAGCCGGAAUCGCUAGUAAUCGCGGAUCAGCAUGCCGCGGUCGAAUACGUUCCCGGGCCUU
This 348-nucleotide ribosomal RNA is filed under the name uncultured Geobacillus sp. Its description in RNAcentral is "bacterial SSU rRNA". It matches the Rfam family "Bacterial small subunit ribosomal RNA", at positions 1033 to 1382 of the family's 1533-position model. The record is from RNAcentral. Lineage: Bacteria; Bacillati; Bacillota; Bacilli; Caryophanales; Anoxybacillaceae.